RNAcentral lists this transfer RNA (75 nucleotides) under Bacillota bacterium. RNAcentral's name for it is "Firmicutes bacterium (anaerobic digester metagenome) tRNA-Arg". It matches the Rfam family "tRNA". Rfam says of the family: Transfer RNA (tRNA) molecules are approximately 80 nucleotides in length. Their secondary structure includes four short double-helical elements and three loops (D, anti-codon, and T loops). Further hydrogen bonds mediate the characteristic L-shaped molecular structure. tRNAs have two regions of fundamental functional importance: the anti-codon, which is responsible for specific mRNA codon recognition, and the 3' end, to which the tRNAs corresponding amino acid is attached (by aminoacyl-tRNA synthetases). tRNAs cope with the degeneracy of the genetic code in two manners: having more than one tRNA (with a specific anti-codon) for a particular amino acid; and 'wobble' base-pairing, i.e. permitting non-standard base-pairing at the 3rd anti-codon position. Lineage: Bacteria; Bacillati; Bacillota. The record is from RNAcentral.
GCGCCCGUAGCUCAGUGGAUAGAGCGCUAGGCUCCGGACCUGGAAGCAGGAGUUCGAUUCUCUUCGGGCGCACCA